GCCUCUCUGCGGAGGACGGAAGGUGGAGCUUUACGGUAGCUCUUUGCUCUAUUGAUUGAUGCCUCUUUUCAGGUUUUGUCGUAUACUCCUACACAGUAAGUCACAGAGAGAGAGAGAGAGGCAGAGACACAGGCAGAGGGAGAAGCAGGCUCCAUGCACCGGGAGCCCGACGUGGGAUUCGAUCCCGGGUCUCCAGGAUCGCGCCCUGGGCCAAAGGCAGGCGCCAAACCGCUGCGCCACCCAGGGAUCCCCACAAACCGAUAUUCUUCAUCUUGAUAUCCAGCUUUGCCGACAUCAUUUAUUAAAUACUAUUCUCCAUUGUUUUGUUACUAGUGACUUGUUACCUGACCUCUUUCAGCUUCUUCACUUGUAAGAUUACUAACAGUACUUACCCCAUAGGGAUAAUGAGGAUAAACCUGAAACUAGUAUAAAGUAAUUGCUUAAUGCAUGCUAAUUUACUUAAACUUGUCUUUUUUUUUUUUUUUGCAAAGGUACUUAACUAGUUUGCUUUAAAUUCAGUUACAAACCAUUGUAUAAGUAUUGCUAUAUCAUGUGCCUUUACAUCUAAGUGAUGUAUGUACAAUGAAAGUAUUGCCAUUUGGUCAUUUUACUUUUCUGACUUAUUACAAUGUGCCCAGGAGCCCCAAGAUCAAGUUUAAGUUUAAGUUCCAGGACCUCAUUUUAGGCCUAAGUAUCAGCCUACCUGCUUUACAGAAGGGCAUUAGUUGGUGUUCUCCUCUUUAAAGCUUCCUUAUUCACUGUAUGCUAAAGACUCUUUUUCCUCCAUGAGAAGCACCAAAGUGGUUUUUACUUGUUGCCCUCAAAAUCAAGAUUCUGCCUUAGUACCUCCAGAAAACAAGCACCCUGAUUUCAAUUAUUAAACAAGCAAAACCUGAUAAUCACUUAGAAAAAUAUAGAAUGAAAAAAACUUUUAAAAAAUAUUCACCCAUCUCUGUGAAGAUGGUCAAUAAGCCAAUUACACUCUGUUCUGUUCUUUCAGCCUCCUUUAGUUAUGGUAAGGGGAACAUAAACUUUAAGGAAGCACAGGUAUGAUGCCAUCAAGUUAAAAAAAAAAAAAGUACACACACCCAUGAAGUAUUCUUGCUACAGUAUUUUAAUCUUAAUCUACCAAGCCUUUGGGUUUACCUUUUAGUUUAUAGGAAAUAGGUAUGGCAGGCACAUUCUAAGAAGGCUCCCAGUGAUCUCUUUUCUGAUACAGCCUGUGUAAUCCACUCUCCUUGAGUAACUUGCUUCCAGCCUUGAUGUUGAGAGGGUGGCAUAUUUGUAGUUUGUAAAUGUAAAUGUUAUGACUUUGAUUUUGCUAGCAGACUCUCCCUUGGUGGUUUUAAUGAAACCACUUGACAUGAUGGAGAAGCCCAUAAAACAUAAAACUGAGGGCAGGGGAGCCUGGGUAGGUCAGUUGGUUAAGUGACUCUUGAUUUCAGUUCAGGUCGAGCCUCAUGCAGGCAUGGAACCUACAUAAGAUUCUCUUUCUCUCUCUUCUUCUGCCCCUCCCCCACCUCCUUCUCUGAAAAAAAAAAAAGGAAAACAUUCAUUUAAAAACUUUUAUUUAUUUCAGAGAGAGAGAGAGAGAGAGAGAGAGAGCAGCACAAAUAAAGGAAAGGGUGGAGGGCCUGUUGAGCAAGGAGCCCAAUGCAGGGCCCAAGCCCAGAACCCUGGGAUCAUGACCUGAGCUAAAGGCAGACUGAGCUACCCAGGCACCCCUGGAAAACAUUCUUAAAAAGACAAAACACCCAAAAAGCUGAGGACAGCCUUUGGCCAACAGCCAGCUAGGAUUUUAAGUCCUCAAUCCAACACCUGGAAAAGAACUGAACACUAACCAUGUAAAUGAGCUCGAAAAUGCUUCCUUCUCCAAUCAAGCCCUCAGAUGAGUCCUCAGCCAUGGCUGAUACUCUUCAUAGCAGCCUCAUGUGAAACAAAGAUACAGAGGAUCCUGCUAAGCUGGGCCAGGAUUCUUCAUUUGCAAAAAAUUUAGAUAGUAAAUGUGUGCUGUUCUAAGCCACUUUAGUUUUGGGGUAAUUUAUUAAGCAGCAAUAGGUAAUUAAUACAGAAGAGUUACAGAAAUGUUUUACAAAUAUAAAAUUGGGGUGCCUUGCAUUCUGCAAUGCAGAGAUGCUUCAAAGUCAAUGACACUAAAAAAUAAAAAUAGAACUGUUCUAGAGUAAGAGACUGAAGAAACAUAUAAUCAAAUAAAUAUAAUACAUAAACCUUGAUUAUUUAUAUUAGAUCCUUUAAAUAAAGUGAUAAUAGUUACUAUGAAACAAGGAAAUUUGAGUUUGGAAUACAUAUUAGAUACUAUGAAAUUACUGACUGGUAAUACAGCGAUAUGGUUAUAAAGAACAUUCUUUAAAAUGUCCUUAUUCUUAGAAGAUACAUAUUUAAGUAUUUAGUUGAUAAAGGUGAUAUCUGUAAUCUCAAGAGUAGAGAUAAAACCAAUAUGGCAAAAUGUUAACAACUGUAGAACUUGGUUGGCAAGUUCACGAGUGUUCACUGUACUCUUUGAACUUUGAUGUAUGAACAUUUUCAUUAAAAAUUUUAAGAAAAACA
This is a long non-coding RNA of Nyctereutes procyonoides (raccoon dog), 2568 nucleotides long. RefSeq lists it as uncharacterized. Lineage: Eukaryota; Metazoa; Chordata; Mammalia; Carnivora; Canidae. The record is from RefSeq and is a predicted model, not a curated record. The transcript has 2 exons.